GACAUAUGUAUAUCUCUCUUGUUUGAUCUGAGACCCUGUGAAUGUUCCUUCUAUUUUGAGUUACUGAUUGAGCCAGUCUUGCAGCUGUGCCCAGCCUAGACCAGACCCUGCUGAUUUGCAUGUGCAUGGAGCACAGCCCACUGCCCUGGACACUUCUUUAUAGACUGCUCACAGACUGUGCAGGGGUCAGGUUCAGUCAGCACACAGCAUGAACAUGAGGGCCCCUGCUCAGCUCCUGGGGCUCCUGAUGCUCUGGCUCCCAGGUGCCAGUUGUGACAUCCAGAUGACCCAGUCUCAAUCCUCCCUGUCUGCAUCCCUUGGAGACAGUGUUUCCAUCACUUGCAGAGCCAGUCAGGGCAUUAGCAGUUGGUUAGCCUGGUAUCAACAGAAACCAGGAAAAGCACCAAAGCUCCUGAUCUAUGGUGCAUCCAAUUUGGCUACUGGGGUCCCAUCCAGGUUCAGUGGCAGUGGAUCUGGGACAGAGUUCACUCUUACCAUCAGCAGCCUGCAGCAAGACGAUAUUGCCAUAUAUUAUUGUCAGCAGUAUAGCAGUUUACCUCCCACAGUGAUACAAGUCAUAACAAAAACCUCCAGGGAAGCAGAAAAACCAGGACAGCCUCCAAAACCUCUGAGCUAUAGAGGAUCCAAUGGGGAAAGUGGGAUCCCAAACCGAUUCAGUGGCAGUGAGUCUGAGACAGAUUUCAACUUCACCAUAAAUCAAGUGGAGGCUGAAGAUUCUGCAAAUUGCUAUGGUCAGGAGAAUAACAAGUUUCCUCUCAUAGAAGAAUAUUCUUCAGACAGCUGCUCACUGAGGUUCACUGUCUCAGGUGUUUGUCUUCCACUGAGCACUUCAACCAACACUCUCUAG
Non-coding RNA from Dipodomys ordii (Ord's kangaroo rat), 868 nucleotides. The record is from the annotation of a RefSeq genome assembly. NCBI's taxonomy places the organism in Eukaryota, Metazoa, Chordata, Mammalia, Rodentia, Heteromyidae.